This 650-nucleotide ribosomal RNA is filed under the name uncultured bacterium. Its description in RNAcentral is "bacterial SSU rRNA". It matches the Rfam family "Bacterial small subunit ribosomal RNA", at positions 223 to 863 of the family's 1533-position model. The record is from RNAcentral.
GGAUGGACCCGCGUCUGAUUAGCUAGUUGGUAGGGUAACGGCCUACCAAGGCGACGAUCAGUAACCGGCCUGAGAGGGUGGUCGGUCACACUGGGACUGAGACACGGCCCAGACUCCUACGGGAGGCAGCAGUGAGGAAUCUUCCGCAAUGGGCGAAAGCCUGACGGAGCAACGCCGCGUGAAUGAAGAAGGCCUUCGGGUCGUAAAGUUCUGUCUUUAGGGAAGAAGUCCCUUGAUGUAAAUAAUGUCAAGGGGUGACGGUACCUAAGGAGGAAGCUCCGGCUAACUACGUGCCAGCAGCCGCGGUAAUACGUAGGGAGCGAGCAUUGUCCGGAAUUACUGGGCGUAAAGGGCGCGUAGGCGGGUAUUUAAGUCAGAUGUGAAAGCUCCGGGCUUAACUUGGAGAGUGCAUUUGAAACUGGAUAUCUUGAGGGCAGGAGAGGAAAGUGGAAUUCCUAGUGUAGCGGUGGAAUGCGUAGAUAUUAGGAGGAACACCAGUGGCGAAGGCGACUUUCUGGACUGUACCUGACGCUGAGGCGCGAAAGCAUGGGGAGCAAACGGGAUUAGAUACCCCGGUAGUCCAUGCCGUAAACGAUGAAUACUAGGUGUAGGAGGUAUCGACCCCUUCUGUGCCGCAGUUAACACAAUAA